ACUUAAAUAGCUUAUAUUUGUAGAGUAUGAUAUUGAAGAUAUCAAGGAAAUUAAUUAAAUUUUUAAGUA
RNAcentral lists this transfer RNA (69 nucleotides) under Gyrinidae sp. GENSP01. RNAcentral describes it as "tRNA-Phe". The record is from RNAcentral. Lineage: Eukaryota; Metazoa; Arthropoda; Insecta; Coleoptera; Gyrinidae.